Molecule: ribosomal RNA, 674 nt
Filed under: Bacillus sp. (in: firmicutes)
Lineage: Bacteria; Bacillati; Bacillota; Bacilli; Caryophanales; Bacillaceae
Description: bacterial SSU rRNA
Rfam family: Bacterial small subunit ribosomal RNA
Source: RNAcentral
CAACGCCGCGUGAGUGAUGAAGGNUUUCGGAUCGUAAAGCUCUGNUGUUNGGGAAGAACAAGUGCAAGAGUAACUGCUUGCACCUUGACGGUACCUAACCAGAAAGCCACGGCUAACUACGUGCCAGCAGCCGCGGUAAUACGUAGGUGGCAAGCGUUGUCCGGAAUUAUUGGGCGUAAAGGGCUCGCAGGCGGUUUCUUAAGUCUGAUGUGAAAGCCCCCGGCUCAACCGGGGAGGGUCAUUGGAAACUGGGAAACUUGAGUGCAGAAGAGGAGAGUGGAAUUCCACGUGUAGCGGUGAAAUGCGUAGAGAUGUGGAGGAACACCAGUGGCGAAGGCGACUCUCUGGUCUGUAACUGACGCUGAGGAGCGAAAGCGUGGGGAGCGAACAGGAUUAGAUACCCUGGUAGUCCACGCCGUAAACGAUGAGUGCUAAGUGUUAGGGGGUUUCCGCCCCUUAGUGCUGCAGCUAACGCAUUAAGCACUCCGCCUGGGGAGUACGGUCGCAAGACUGAAACUCAAAGGAAUUGACGGGGGCCCGCACAAGCGGUGGAGCAUGUGGUUUAAUUCGAAGCAACGCGAAGAACCUUACCAGGUCUUNACAUCCUCUGACAACCCNAGAGAUAGGNCUUUCCCUUCGGGGNCAGAGUGACAGGUGGUGCAUGGUUGUCGUCA